This 1085-nucleotide long non-coding RNA is filed under the name Marmota monax (woodchuck). The record is from RNAcentral. Lineage: Eukaryota; Metazoa; Chordata; Mammalia; Rodentia; Sciuridae.
GCCCUCCGGGGGCCGGCCGCAGCCCCAUUUCGCUGACGGCCGGAAGGAGCUGUUAUCGGCGGGUCUUGGCGGAAGUGGGCGAGCGUCCCCGGGUUCCCCUGUUUAGUUGUGUGCGGCGGUUCCGAGGAACUUGGGUUCCCAGGUGGGGCAGACGUGCCCCCGGCGGCGCUUCGGGGCCGAGGCUGGGGAUGGCCGCGAAACCCCGCGUAAGCCAGGUCGCUCUCGCCGUGUCCCUGCGCUUCGGCGCUUACGUUCACGGGCCGCCGGGGGCCGCGCCGGCGUGUCCCGAAAGUAAUAGGCGGGAUGGCGACCGAGGCUCCGAGCGCGUGCAGCCGGCCGGCCAGUGGUGCGGUUCUGAGCCGCGCGCACGAGGAGCUGCGUCCCGUGGCGCAGCAGCUGGGGCUCGCGAGGGGCUUCCUAAUCGUCGGACUGGGGAUGGCCGCGCCGAAUAUGCGACUUGACUCCACUUGGGAACAGGCGGCGCGGUGACUAGUUGUUAAACGACUGGACCUCUCGGGUCCCCCGAAGGCCAAACCGAGGCCUGCGAAGGACGACCUCACCGAAUAAACCGAAAAGGCUUUCUUUCCGUGCGACUUUAUAACCCGACUUGGGCUCCUGGGUCUGGAAACAGAAAAGCCAAGGUUGCAACGGCAGGAUCCACGACCCACCUCUGAGCUCAGGAAGCCGCCGCCCCCUGUCCAGUUCAGCCUCACUGCUUCUUGAGGAACUCACCUGUGCCUCUGCCAGGGCCACCCGAGGGAGGCCUUGAGAAGACUAGAUUUUUUUGCUUCGUGUUGGCUUUACAGUCCCAACCAGCUCAGUUCCAACAUGAGAAGUGCAGUGUCCGAGCCCACUGGCCGAGUGAAAAUACACCUGAACAGCCAGUGCGUGCCGUCCUGUGCUUUCCCUCUUCAAAAGGCAAUGUCUGUGACCCAAUUUUCAUUUACUUUUUUAGCAAAACGACUUUUUUAAAAAAUUACUUCUAGGGCUGAAAUUACAAAGAUAUGACACAGCUUUCUUUCUCUCUGGAGCAGGGUGAAGGAGCUGGCCCUGCAUCUGCUUUUGUAAAUAAAGUUUUAUUGAAA